This 600-nucleotide ribosomal RNA is filed under the name Triticum aestivum (bread wheat). Its description in RNAcentral is "partial small subunit ribosomal RNA". The record is from RNAcentral. Lineage: Eukaryota; Viridiplantae; Streptophyta; Magnoliopsida; Poales; Poaceae.
AUGAAUCUCCUGGUGUGGAACUGUCGUGGGGCUGGCAAACCCGCGACAGUUCAAGAGCUUCGUAAUAUGACGAAGCAAUUUGCCCCCUCUAUAGUAUGUAUUUUAGAGACUCAAAUAGAGGGAUCCCGAGUGGAGAGUUUAGCUAAUACACUAGGUUUCAAUAAAUGCUAUGUUGUAAGCAGUUCUGGUAGGAGUGGAGGUCUUGGUAUAUUUUGGAACGAUAUAAUAAAAGUUGAAGUUAUUGGUUAUUCUGAGUAUCAUAUCAAUGUGAUAGUGGAUGAUUUUGUUGGGGAACGUAGCAGAAAUUCAAAAUUUUCCUACGUGUCACCAAGAUCUAUCUAUGGAGAAACCAGCAACGAGGGGAAGGAGAGUGCAUCUACAUACCCUUGUAGAUCGCUAUGCGGAAGCAUUCAAGAGAACGGGGUUGAAGGAGUCGUACUCGUCGUGAUCCAAAUCACCGGAGAUCCUAGUGCCGAACGGACGGCACCUCCGCGUUCAACACACGUACAGCCCGGUGACGUCUCACAUGCCUUGAUCCAGCAAGGAGAGAGGGAGAGGUUGAAGAAGACUCCAUCCAGCAACAGCACAACGGCAUGGUGA